Molecule: long non-coding RNA, 555 nt
Filed under: Homo sapiens (human)
Lineage: Eukaryota; Metazoa; Chordata; Mammalia; Primates; Hominidae
Description: long intergenic non-protein coding RNA 1704
Source: RNAcentral
ACUUGUGGUGCACAUGGGGCAUGUACGGGCAACACUCAAUCCUGCCCAGGAAGCUUCCUUGAGCCUUGAGGGCUGCCUCACAAUGGAUCCUAGGCUUCUUUUUUCCCUUGCUGCUUGCCUAAAUGUAAAUUAAAUGCUCUCAAGGGAUGAGAGACACUGGAAGCUGGGACGCUCUUGGAACUCUGUUGCCAUCAUCAAGGUCAGCAGUCCAACUACCAGGGCCAGAGCCCCAUCAAAGAAUCUUCAGUGCCAGCCAGAAAGAAUGAUGAACUCCUCGUGUAAAGGGAGUUUGGGGCAACCAGUCAAACCAUGGCCUCAUGGGAAGCAGCUGACUAGGCAAUGAGAGAGGAAUACAAAAGACAAGGCACUGCGAAGCCAAGUCUGGUUGGGGAGAAGAAACCAAUAUGCCUGAAACAGGGAACCAGAAAGGACUCAGACAAAACUGCUGACAAGUAUGGGGUUUCUUGGGGUAGGUGGUGAAAAUAUUCCAAAAUAAGAUUAUAGCGAUGUUUUAAUAAUCCCCUGGAUAUAAUAAAAAAACAUCGAAUUGUACAC